GGCGAUGGCGGCAGGCUACACAUGCAGUCGAACGGUAACAUUUCUAGCUUGCUAGAAGAUGACGAGUGGCGGACGGGUGAGUAAUGCUUGGGAACUUGCCUUUGCGAGGGGGAUAACAGUUGGAAACGACUGCUAAUACCGCAUAAUGUCUUCGGACCAAACGGGGCUUUUAGCUCCGGCGCAAAGAGAGGCCCAAGUGAGAUUAGCUAGUUGGUAAGGUAACGGCUUACCAAGGCGACGAUCUCUAGCUGUUCUGAGAGGAAGAUCAGCCACACUGGGACUGAGACACGGCCCAGACUCCUACGGGAGGCAGCAGUGGGGAAUAUUGCACAAUGGGGGAAACCCUGAUGCAGCCAUGCCGCGUGUGUGAAGAAGGCCUUCGGGUUGUAAAGCACUUUCAGUUGUGAGGAAAAGUUAGUAGUUAAUACCUGCUAGCCGUGACGUUAACAACAGAAGAAGCACCGGCUAACUCCGUGCCAGCAGCCGCGGUAAUACGGAGGGUGCGAGCGUUAAUCGGAAUUACUGGGCGUAAAGCGCACGCAGGCGGUUUGUUAAGCUAGAUGUGAAAGCCCCGGGCUCAACCUGGGAUGGUCAUUUAGAACUGGCAGACUAGAGUCUUGGAGAGGGGAGUGGAAUUCCAGGUGUAGCGGUGAAAUGCGUAGAUAUCUGGAGGAACAUCAGUGGCGAAGGCGACUCCCUGGCCAAAGACUGACGCUCAUGUGCGAAAGUGUGGGUAGCGAACAGGAUUAGAUACCCCCGUAGUCCA
RNAcentral lists this ribosomal RNA (766 nucleotides) under Alteromonas sp. RNAcentral's name for it is "bacterial SSU rRNA". It matches the Rfam family "Bacterial small subunit ribosomal RNA", at positions 32 to 797 of the family's 1533-position model. Lineage: Bacteria; Pseudomonadati; Pseudomonadota; Gammaproteobacteria; Alteromonadales; Alteromonadaceae. The record is from RNAcentral.